GAGAAGAACGUAGCGAAAUGCGAUAAGUAAUGUGAAUUGCAGAAUUCAGUGAAUCAUCGAAUCUUUGAACGCACAUUGCGCCCCCUGGUAUUCCGGGGGGCAUGCCUGUCCGAGCGUCAUUACAACCCUCAAGCUCAGCUUGGUGUUGGGCCCCGCCGCCCCGGCGGGCCCUAAAGUCAGUGGCGGUGCCGUCCGGCUCCGAGCGUAGUAAUUCUUCUCGCUCUGGAGGUCCGGUCGUGUGCUCGCCAGCAACCCCCAAUUUUUUUCAGGUUGACCUCGGAUCAGGUAGGGAUACCCGCUGAACUUAAGCAUAUCAAUAAGCGGAGGA
This 328-nucleotide unclassified non-coding RNA is filed under the name soil metagenome. RNAcentral's name for it is "partial contains 5.8S ribosomal RNA, internal transcribed spacer 2, and large subunit ribosomal RNA". The stretch from base 3 to 119 matches the Rfam family "5.8S ribosomal RNA", at positions 38 to 154 of the family's 154-position model. The record is from RNAcentral.